RNAcentral lists this non-coding RNA (475 nucleotides) under Contracaecum multipapillatum. Lineage: Eukaryota; Metazoa; Nematoda; Chromadorea; Rhabditida; Anisakidae. The record is from RNAcentral.
AUCUUGAGUUUUUUUAUUUUUACUUUGGUUUUUAGGGUGAAAUUGAAGAACUUUUCUAGGUAGGCUCAAGAUUUUAAAAUUUAUUGAACAAGCCAGAUUAGUACCUGGUUAGAUAAAAGUUAAAAGGGCAGAAGUAAAGUUGUGUUUAAACUGUAAGAAUAUUGGCAGGUUAUUAAAUUAUCUUUGGAGGCUGAGUAGUAAUCGAGAGCCCUCGUUUACGACUUUUAGUUUGGGCGCAUGUAUGAUCGUUUAUUUUAUUCUUAAGGAUUGUAAUUUUAGUUUUUUUUUUCUGUAAAAAUAGAUAUAUACUUGGCUUAUUUAAAAAAUUUAAUUUGGCCUACAUUAUAUUAGUAGUUGGAUGGUAUUCGUAGUGAAUACUUGAAAUUGUAAAAGACAGUAAGUUUUUCUUAAUGUAAGACUGAAGUUUAUUUGGUAACGGUACAAAUCAUCCAUCAAUUGCCUAAAGGGGAGUAAG